UGCUUGCAUCUUGAUUUAAUUUUGAACGAGUGGCGGACGGGUGAGUAACACGUGGGUAACCUGCCCUUAAGUGGGGGAUAACAUUUGGAAACAGAUGCUAAUACCGCAUAAAUCCAAGAACCGCAUGGUUCUUGGCUGAAAGAUGGCGUAAGCUAUCGCUUUUGGAUGGACCCGCGGCGUAUUAGCUAGUUGGUGAGGUAACGGCUCACCAAGGCAAUGAUACGUAGCCGAACUGAGAGGUUGAUCGGCCACAUUGGGACUGAGACACGGCCCAAACUCCUACGGGAGGCAGCAGUAGGGAAUCUUCCACAAUGGACGCAAGUCUGAUGGAGCAACGCCGCGUGAGUGAAGAAGGCUUUCGGGUCGUAAAACUCUGUUGUUGGAGAAGAAUGGUCGGCAGAGUAACUGUUGUCGGCGUGACGGUAUCCAACCAGAAAGCCACGGCUAACUACGUGCCAGCAGCCGCGGUAAUACGUAGGUGGCAAGCGUUAUCCGGAUUUAUUGGGCGUAAAGCGAGCGCAGGCGGUUUUUUAAGUCUGAUGUGAAAGCCCUCGGCUUAACCGAGGAAGUGCAUCGGAAACUGGGAAACUUGAGUGCAGAAGAGGACAGUGGAACUCCAUGUGUAGCGGUGAAAUGCGUAGAUAUAUGGAAGAACACCAGUGGCGAAGGCGGCUGUCUGGUCUGUAACUGACGCUGAGGCUCGAAAGCAUGGGUAGCGAACAGGAUUAGAUACCCUGGUAGUCCAUGCCGUAAACGAUGAAUGCUAGGUGUUGGAGGGUUUCCGCCCUUCAGUGCCGCAGCUAACGCAUUAAGCAUUCCGCCUGGGGAGUACGACCGCAAGGUUGAAACUCAAAGGAAUUGACGGGGGCCCGCACAAGCGGUGGAGCAUGUGGUUUAAUUCGAAGCAACGCGAAGAACCUUACCAGGUCUUGACAUCUUUUGAUCACCUGAGAGAUCAGGUUUCCCCUUCGGGGGCAAAAUGACAGGUGGUGCAUGGUUGUCGUCAGCUCGUGUCGUGAGAUGUUGGGUUAAGUCCCGCAACGAGCGCAACCCUUAUGACUAGUUGCCAGCAUUUAGUUGGGCACUCUAGUAAGACUGCCGGUGACAAACCGGAGGAAGGUGGGGAUGACGUCAAAUCAUCAUGCCCCUUAUGACCUGGGCUACACACGUGCUACAAUGGAUGGUACAACGAGUUGCGAGACCGCGAGGUCAAGCUAAUCUCUUAAAGCCAUUCUCAGUUCGGACUGUAGGCUGCAACUCGCCUACACGAAGUCGGAAUCGCUAGUAAUCGCGGAUCAGCACGCCGCGGUGAAUACGUUCCCGGGCCUUGUACACACCGCCCGUCACACCAUGAGAGUUUGUAACACCCGAAGCCGGUGGCGUAACCCUUUUAGGGAGCGAGCCGUCUAAGGUGGGACAAAUGAUUAGGGUGAAGUCGUAACAAGGUAGCCGUAGGAGAACCUGCGGCUGGAUCACCUCCUUUCUAAGGAA
RNAcentral lists this ribosomal RNA (1491 nucleotides) under Lacticaseibacillus rhamnosus. RNAcentral's name for it is "bacterial SSU rRNA". It matches the Rfam family "Bacterial small subunit ribosomal RNA". Lineage: Bacteria; Bacillati; Bacillota; Bacilli; Lactobacillales; Lactobacillaceae. The record is from RNAcentral.